Molecule: long non-coding RNA, 284 nt
Organism: Rosa rugosa (rugosa rose)
Lineage: Eukaryota; Viridiplantae; Streptophyta; Magnoliopsida; Rosales; Rosaceae
Exons: 3
Source: RefSeq, a predicted model, not a curated record
ACUGUGAACGGAGAAUCGACGAUCCAAAGCUUGAAGAACCUCCGGCGAGUUUCAACGAAUUCCGGCGACUCUGGCCACCGUUUGGGGUGCAUGUGGCGAGGACUGACCUUGAUUGAAGUUAAAGUCUGGAAAUUUCGAGUUGGUGACUGUCAGAUCGUACUUCAUCACUAGUUGAGCUUCGUCGAGUUUCCGGAAAACGUUGAGGAUCAAAAUAAGAAACUUUGAGUUGUGGACGUUGAGGCUUGGAUUGCCAGUUCAUCACCAGGUUCUUAGAGAGCUGCUGC